RNAcentral lists this long non-coding RNA (991 nucleotides) under Homo sapiens (human). Its description in RNAcentral is "HSALNT0205217". The record is from RNAcentral. Lineage: Eukaryota; Metazoa; Chordata; Mammalia; Primates; Hominidae.
UCUCGCUCUGUCCCGCUGCCUGGAGUGCAGUGGCGCGAUCUCGGCUCACUGCAAGCUCCGCCUCCCAGGUUCGCGCCAUUCUCCUGCCUCAGCCUCCCGAGUAGCUGGGACUAUAGGCGCCCUCUACCGCGCCCAGCUAAUGUUUUUUUGUUUUUGUAUUUUUAGUAGAGACGGGGUUUCACCGUGUUAGCCAGGAUGGUCUCGAUCUCCUGACCUCGUGAUCCGCCCGCCUCGGCCUCCCAAAGUGCUGGGAUUACAGGAGUGAGCCACCGCGCCCGGCCACGUAGUUUGACUUCUAAGAGCACUACAGCUCUGCUGAAGAUGUGGUUUGUCAGCUGACUGAUUAUUCUCUGCUGUUCUGGAUAGUCUUCUAUGUACAAAACUAGAGAUGAGUGGACUUUUCGUGUGCUGUGUGGUGGAUGUGACUCAGGUCAUAGCCACUGCUCUGAAAAGUGAUGGAGUCAGGGAGCCAUCAUCCAGCCUCACCUCCUGGGUUGUCAACCUACAUUUUUGGAGCCAGCUCAUUCUUUGAGGUUUCUCUAAGUCCCCAUGAGCUGCUAUUCAUGUUGACCAACAGUCUUAAGCAGAAAGAAAUAGCUUCUGGAAAAAUAACUAUAAUAUUGGCACAUUUCAGCAUCUCAAAGCAGAUUUUUGCAAGACGGUAAAUGACAACACAAGAUAUUUCAAUAAAAUGCCUACAUGUUGAAAGACCCUCCAACGGAAAAUAUACCAAGAGCAGAGCUACCUGAAAUAUAAUCUUAUUUCAUUGACAUACACUCCCUGGGAGAAAGUAAAGUCCAAAUUUUAUGUUUCUUGAAAUUAGACUUAAGCAUUAUAUCACAAUAUUUUUUCACCUUUAGAAUUAGAAAUCCAAAGAAAAGUCCUCCCUCCCACCUUAUUUUCUGUCAGUCUCAGCUGGAGGUAUGCUUGGGGUUUGGACAGUUUCAAGAAUUUUUAAUAACUGCAGAACCACCUGUCUCUUGCACUAAAA